Molecule: ribosomal RNA, 595 nt
Filed under: uncultured Bacteroidota bacterium
Lineage: Bacteria; Pseudomonadati; Bacteroidota
Description: bacterial SSU rRNA
Rfam family: Bacterial small subunit ribosomal RNA
Source: RNAcentral
CAACCUGCCCACCACUUGGGGAUAACCUUGCGAAAGUAAGACUAAUACCCAAUGAUAUCUCUAGAANACAUCUGAAAGAGAUUAAAGAUUUAUCGGUGAUGGAUGGGGAUGCGUCUGAUUAGCUUGUUGGCGGGGUAACGGCCCACCAAGGCAACGAUCAGUAGGGGUUCUGAGAGGAAGGUCCCCCACAUUGGAACUGAGACACGGUCCAAACUCCUACGGGAGGCAGCAGUGAGGAAUAUUGGUCAAUGGACGAGAGUCUGAACCAGCCAAGUAGCGUGCAGGAAGACGGCCCUAUGGGUUGUAAACUGCUUUUAUAAGGGAAUAAAGUUAGUCUCGUGAGACUUUUUGCAUGUACCUUAUGAAUAAGGACCGGCUAAUUCCGUGCCAGCAGCCGCGGUAAUACGGAAGGUCCGGGCGUUAUCCGGAUUUAUUGGGUUUAAAGGGAGCGUAGGCCGGAGAUUAAGCGUGUUGUGAAAUGUAGACGCUCAACGUCUGCACUGCAGCGCGAACUGGUUUCCUUGAGUACGCACAAAGUGGGCGGAAUUCGUGGUGUAGCGGUGAAAUGCUUAGAUAUCACGAAGAACUCCGAUUG